UACGGAGGAUGCGAGCGUUAUCCGGAUUUAUUGGGUUUAAAGGGUGCGCAGGCGGCACGGCAAGCCGGCGGUCAAAUCGCGGGGCUCAACCCCGCCCAGCCGUCGGAACUGCCGGGCUAGAGUGGGCGAGAAGUGCGCGGAAUGCGUGGUGUAGCGGUGAAAUGCAUAGAUAUCACGCAGAACUCCGAUUGCGAAGGCAGCGCACCGGCGCCCUACUGACGCUCAGGUACGAAAGCGUGGGUAUCGAACAGG
RNAcentral lists this ribosomal RNA (252 nucleotides) under uncultured bacterium. Its description in RNAcentral is "partial 16S ribosomal RNA". It matches the Rfam family "Bacterial small subunit ribosomal RNA", at positions 524 to 776 of the family's 1533-position model. The record is from RNAcentral.